GCAGGGUUAGAAUAAAAAUUCCUAUUUCUGUCUCAAAUAAAAUGUAUCAUAUAUUAAGAUACACUCUGCU
Molecule: transfer RNA, 70 nt
Filed under: Ciona intestinalis (vase tunicate)
Lineage: Eukaryota; Metazoa; Chordata; Ascidiacea; Phlebobranchia; Cionidae
Also listed under: 1 other name
Description: tRNA (ENSCING00000025196.1)
Source: RNAcentral